GACGAACGCUGGCGGCGUGCUUAACACAUGCAAGUCGAACGGCAAGGCCCUGCUUUUGUUGGGUGCUCGAGUGGCAAACGGGUGAGUAACACGUGAAUAACCUCCCCAUGACUUUGUGAUAACUUCAGGAAACUGCGGCUAAUACCGGAUAGGAGCUCCUGCUGCAUGGUGGGGGUUGGAAAGUUUCGGCGGUGGGGGGUCGACUGGCGGCUUACUAGCUUGUUGGUGGGGUAGUGGCUGACCAAGGCUUGGACGGGUAGCCGGCCUGAGAGGGUGACCGGCGACAAGGGGACUACGGGAGGGCGCAGACGCGUACGGGAGGCAGCAGUGGGAAAUAUUGCCCAAUGAGCGGGAGCGUGAGGCAGAAACGCUGCGGGCGUGAAGCAGUCCUUCGGGGUGUAAACCGCUUUCGGCUGUGACGAAGCGUGAGUGACGGUAACGGGUAAAGAAGCACCGGCUAACUACGUG
RNAcentral lists this ribosomal RNA (468 nucleotides) under uncultured bacterium. Its description in RNAcentral is "partial 16S ribosomal RNA". It matches the Rfam family "Bacterial small subunit ribosomal RNA", at positions 28 to 507 of the family's 1533-position model. The record is from RNAcentral.